UACAGAGGUCUCAAGCGUUGUUCGGAUUCAUUGGGCGUAAAGGGUGCGUAGGCGGCGCGGUAAGUCGGGUGUGAAAGCCCCCGGCUCAACUGGGGAGGGUCACGCGAUACUGAUCGACUCGAAGGCAGGAGAGGGAAGUGGAAUUCCCGGUGUAGUGGUGAAAUGCGUAGAUAUCGGGAGGAACACCAGUGGCGAAGGCGACUUCCUGGCCUGUUCUUGACGCUGAGACGCGAAAGCUAGGGGAGCAAACGGG
Molecule: ribosomal RNA, 253 nt
Filed under: uncultured bacterium
Lineage: Bacteria
Description: partial 16S ribosomal RNA
Rfam family: Bacterial small subunit ribosomal RNA
Source: RNAcentral